UACGUAGGGACCAAGCGUUGUUCGGAUUUACUGGGCGUAAAGGGCGCGUAGGCGGCUUGGCAAGUGGAAGGUGAAAUCCCUCGGCUCAACUGAGGAACUGCCUUCCAGACUGCUUUGCUUGAGUCCGGGAGAGGUGAGUGGAAUUCCCAGUGUAGCGGUGAAAUGCGUAGAUAUUAGGAGGAACACCGGUGGCGAAGGCGCCACUCUGGGCCGAAACUGACGCUGAGGAGCGAAAGCAUGGGUAGCAAACAGG
RNAcentral lists this ribosomal RNA (253 nucleotides) under uncultured bacterium. RNAcentral describes it as "partial 16S ribosomal RNA". It matches the Rfam family "Bacterial small subunit ribosomal RNA", at positions 524 to 776 of the family's 1533-position model. The record is from RNAcentral.